CAGUAGCCGCGGUAAAACGGAGGGUGCAAGCGUUACUCGGAAUCACUGGGCGUAAAGGACGCGUAGGCGGAUUAUCAAGUCUCUUGUGAAAUCUAACGGCUUAACCGUUAAACUGCUUGGGAAACUGAUAAUCUAGAGUAAGGGAGAGGCAGAUGGAAUUCUUGGUGUAGGGGUAAAAUCCGUAGAUAUCAAGAAGAAUACCUAUUGCGAAGGCGAUCUGCUGGAACUUAACUGACGCUAAUGCGUGAAAGCGUGGGGAGCAAACAGGAUUAGAUACCCCCGUAGUCCCUGUCUCUUAUAC
This 301-nucleotide ribosomal RNA is filed under the name uncultured bacterium. RNAcentral's name for it is "partial 16S ribosomal RNA". It matches the Rfam family "Bacterial small subunit ribosomal RNA", at positions 509 to 807 of the family's 1533-position model. The record is from RNAcentral.